This 510-nucleotide ribosomal RNA is filed under the name uncultured bacterium. RNAcentral's name for it is "partial 16S ribosomal RNA". It matches the Rfam family "Bacterial small subunit ribosomal RNA", at positions 28 to 507 of the family's 1533-position model. The record is from RNAcentral.
GACGAACGCUGGCGGCGUGCUUAACACAUGCAGGUCGAACGAAGAGCGAUGGAAGCUUGCUUCUAUCAAUCUUAGUGGCGAACGGGUGAGUAACGCGUAAUCAACCUGCCCUUCAGAGGGGGACAACAGUUGGAAACGACUGCUAAUACCGCAUACGAUCUAAACUCGGCAUCGAGGAUAGAUGAAAGGUGGCCUCUACAUGUAAGCUAUCACUGAAGGAGGGGAUUGCGUCUGAUUAGCUAGUUGGAGGGGUAACGGCCCACCAAGGCGAUGAUCAGUAGCCGGUCUGAGAGGAUGAACGGCCACAUUGGGACUGAGACACGGCCCAGACUCCUACGGGAGGCAGCAGUGGGGAAUCUUCCGCAAUGGACGAAAGUCUGACGGAGCAACGCCGCGUGAGUGAUGACGGCCUUCGGGUUGUAAAGCUCUGUUAAUCGGGACGAAAGGCCUUCUUGCGAAUAGUGAGAAGGAUUGACGGUACCGGAAUAGAAAGCCACGGCUAACUACGUG